GGUUGGCUCAGAAGCAGCCAUCCUUUAAAGAGUGCGUAACAGCUCACUAGUCGAAUGACUCUGCGCCGAUAAUUUACCGGGGCUAAGCAUACUACCGAAGCUAUGGAUCCCAAGGGAUGGUAGGGGAGCGUUCCAUGAACGGAGAAGUACGACCGAAAGGACGUGUGGAGAUCAUGGAAGAGAGAAUGCCGGUGUGAGUAGCGGAACGUGGGUGAGAAUCCCACGCACCGAAAACCCAAGGUUUCCAGAGGAAGGUUCGUCCGCUCUGGGUAAGUCGGGACCUAAGGCGAGGCCGAAAGGCGUAGUCGAUGGACAACAGGUAGAGAUUCCUGUACCCGUAUAUAUGUGAAGGAAUGACGGAGAGAGGAAGCUGCAGCCAGCGGCUGGAAGAGCUGGUGCAAGCGAGAUAUCGGGAUGGCAGGCAAAUCCACCAUCCGAAACGAGAAGGCGUGAAGCGUACGGAAAGCUACGGCGAGUACGGAAGGCAGUGGAGGAACUUCCAAGAAAAGUUUCUAACGUAAAGUAUAUAUGGCCCGUACCGAAAAUGGACACACAUGGGUGAGGAGAGAAUCCUAAGGUGAGCGAGAGAACUAUAGCUAAGGAACUCUGCAAAAUGACUCCGUAACUUAGGGAGAAGGAGUGCUCAUAGAGAUAUGAGCCGCAGUGAAACGGCCCAAGCGACUGUUUACCAAAAACACAGCUCUCUGCUAAGCCGCAAGGCGAAGUAUAGGGGGUGACGCCUGCCCGGUGCUGGAAGGUUAAGGGGAGGGGUUAACGCAAGUGAAGCCCUGAACUGAAGCCCCAGUAAACGGCGGCCGUAACUAUAACGGUCCUAAGGUAGCGAAAUUCCUUGUCAGGUAAGUUCUGACCCGCACGAAAGGCGUAACGAUUUGGGCGCUGUCUCAGCUGUAGACUCGGUGAAGUCUUAGUACCUGUGAAGAUGCAGGUUACCCGCGACUAGACGGAAAGACCCCAUGGAGCUUCACUGCAGGUUGAUAUUGGGAUUUGAUGCAGCAUGUACAGGAUAGGUAGGAGGCAAAGAGAUGGAUACGCCAGUAUUCAAGGAGCCGCUGUUGGGAUACUACCCCUGUUGUAUUGGAUUUCUAACCGGACGACGUAGAGCCGUUGACGGGACAGUGUCAGUCGGGCAGUUUGACUGGGGCGGUCGCCUCCCAAAGAGUAACGGAGGCGCCCAAAGAUACCCUCAGCUUGGAUGGAAACCAAGCGCAGAGUGCAAAGGCAAAAGGGUGUUUGACUGCGAGACCCACAAGUCGAGCAGGGACGAAAGUCGGGCUUAGUGAUCCGGCGGUGCUGAAUGGAAAGGCCGUCGCUCAACGGAUAAAAGCUACCCUGGGGAUAACAGGCUGAUCUCCCCCAAGAGUCCACAUCGACGGGGAGGUUUGGCACCUCGAUGUCGGCUCAUCGCAUCCUGGGGCUGAAGUAGGUCCCAAGGGUUGGGCUGUUCGCCCAUUAAAGCGGUACGCGAGCUGGGUUCAGAACGUCGUGAGACAGUUCGGUCCCUAUCUGUCGUGGGCGCAGGAAAUUUGAGAAGAGCUGUCCUCAGUACGAGAGGACCGGGAUGGACGCAUCAAUGGUGGACCAGUUGUCACGCCAGUGGCAUAGCUGGGUAGCUAAAUGCGGAAGGGAUAAACGCUGAAGGCAUCUAAGUGUGAAACCCACUUCAAGAUGAGAUUUCCCAUUGC
This 1703-nucleotide ribosomal RNA is filed under the name human gut metagenome. RNAcentral describes it as "bacterial LSU rRNA". It matches the Rfam family "Bacterial large subunit ribosomal RNA", at positions 1099 to 2820 of the family's 2925-position model. The record is from RNAcentral.